This 409-nucleotide ribosomal RNA is filed under the name uncultured bacterium. Its description in RNAcentral is "bacterial SSU rRNA". It matches the Rfam family "Bacterial small subunit ribosomal RNA", at positions 509 to 916 of the family's 1533-position model. The record is from RNAcentral.
CAGCAGCCGCGGUAAUACAGAGGUCUCAAGCGUUGUUCGGAUUCAUUGGGCGUAAAGGGUGCGUAGGUGGCGCCGUAAGUCGGGUGUGAAAUUUCGGAGCUUAACUCCGAAACUGCAUUCGAUACUGCGGUGCUUGAGGACUGGAGAGGAGACUGGAAUUUACGGUGUAGCAGUGAAAUGCGUAGAGAUCGUAAGGAAGACCAGUGGCGAAGGCGGGUCUCUGGACAGUUCCUGACACUGAGGCACGAAGGCCAGGGGAGCAAACGGGAUUAGAUACCCCGGUAGUCCUGGCAGUAAACGGUGCACGUUUGGUGUGGGAGGAUUCGACCCCUUCUGCGCCGGAGCUAACGCGUUAAACGUGCCGCCUGGGGAGUACGGUCGCAAGAUUAAAACUCAAAGAAAUUGACGG